GAUGAACGCUGGCGGCGUGCCUAAUACAUGCAAGUCGAGCGAACAGACGAGAGUGCUUGCACUCUCUGACGUUAGCGGCGGACGGGUGAGUAACACGUGGGUAACCUACCUAUAAGACUGGGAUAACUUCGGGAAACCGGAGCUAAUACCGGAUAAUAUUUAGCUUCGCAUGAAGCAAUAGUGAAAGACGGUUCUGCUGUCACUUAUAGAUGGACCCGCGGUGUAUUAGCUAGUUGGUAAGGUAACGGCUCACCAAGGCAACGAUACAUAGCCGACCUGAGAGGGUGAUCGGCCACACUGGGACUGAGACACGGCCCAGACUCCUACGGGAGGCAGCAGUAGGGAAUCUUCCGCAAUGGACGAAAGUCUGACGGAGCAAUGCCGCGUGAGUGAAGAAGGUUUUCGGAUCGUAAAACUCUGUUGUAAGGGAAGAACAAGUACGUUAGUAACUGAACGUACCUUGACGGUACCUUACCAGAAAGCCACGGCUAACUACGUG
This 499-nucleotide ribosomal RNA is filed under the name uncultured bacterium. RNAcentral describes it as "partial 16S ribosomal RNA". It matches the Rfam family "Bacterial small subunit ribosomal RNA", at positions 28 to 507 of the family's 1533-position model. The record is from RNAcentral.